CCUCCUCCACCCUUCCCUCGACUCCUCCCUCCUCGCUUCCACCAAGCCCCCAGGUGAGGGCGGGGCCCCCCGCAUCCAAUCAUCUCUCGGCGGCCAGCAGCCACAACUCACUUGAGGGGGAGGUGCCUGUGUCUGACAUCUACUUUACUCAGGAGGACAGGAGCUGGGUAUACUCUCCUCUGCACUACGGCUCAGAGUCCAGACCAGCCUCCGACGGAGAGAGCGAGACAUAAGCUGAGUGCUGUCCAUGCUGAGGAGAGGACCUACACUCUGUCCACGCACUCGCUGAUGCUUUAUGAAGCCUGUACGAAUGCUCCCAGAUGCUUCCAUGAUGCUACAUAACCUCUGGUGUCACAAGCUGCACAUGAAGACCUGUAAUACGGACUGAGAUUGAGAUAGAGGAAAAAAACACACAAAUAUAUACACACGCACAUACACCAAUGUAUAAACAAUCACACACACACAUAUACAGACCUAAAAAAAAAAGUAUGCAACACUAUUGUACUAUUGGGAAGUAAACCAACGUAUUGAAUAGGAUAUCUGUAACCAUCUCCAAUACACCAUGUACAAACUUAACUCCAUCCAGAAGAGAACUCUGUGUCUGACCCAGAGAAGUGACCCUGGCUCUGUACCUGGUAAUGUUAUGUGGUGAACAUGCUUUUCCGGUGUUUGAUAUUUCUGUUCCUCGUGCUGGUCUUUCAGUCAUGACGUGUUCAUGUUAGUUCAAGGUUGACUAUCAUGUGUUCUAAUGAAGUAUUUGACUGGUGUUUUUUUUUUUUUGUAUCUUUGCAUGGUGGAGGUGUGGCUUUUAUGUGAAACAACCCCUUUUGGUUUCCCAGUUGUUGUUUUGUCAUGUGGGACAAUGUUACUGUCUCCAGGUGUUCUGACAUGCAGUGGACUCUCUCCCUAACACGGGUACCGACCAGUCUUGUUUUCCUGUGUUUGGGGUCCUGUACCGUGUCUGUCCAGACUCUGGCUAUGCAAACAGACCAAGGUGUGUGUUUACGUUUCCCCUGCAGAGCUGUCCUGUGCUCCAACACGUCCUGUGGUCAUCCCAGCUCCUCAGUGGGACACUUGUUGCAAUAUUCAUAAUCAAUGUAUUUUUAGCACUUUAUAAGACAUGUAUCCAACAGUGGUAUUGAAAACUGUUUCUGGUUUCAAUCAUUGGUUAUCUUUGCUUUCACAGAUGUAUAGUACUUUGUUUAUUGAUGUAUUUGUUUAUUGAACUUACUUUUUGAAAUGAUCUGUAGUAUCUGGUGGUUGGCUUAUCAGAGUGAUCCAUAUGCCCAUUCUGUCAACUGCAGUGUUUAUUGAUGAUAUAACUGCCUUAUAGAGAAGACAUUCUUCUAUUUUCAGUUCCCCUACAUAUUCGAAUGCUUUUAGAGAUGGCACUAAUGUUUUUUGUAUUAUUAUUGAUCAACAAUAUGAUUUGAUUUUCAAACAUUUAAGGUUUUGUCCUUGGCUUUAAGGGAGGUAUCCUAAGUCUGAUCUAAUCAUUUCAGGAUCCUCAAAGGAUUUAUUUUUUAAAAGAAAAUGAAAGGAAAUAAUCCAUAAUCCUGUUUGUUGAUGAAUUGUAGAAAGUCUACAUCCUUGUUUCUGUGUGUGCAUGCAUGUGUGUGAGUGAGUGUGAGUGAGUGAUGCCUCGUGUCAAAAUGACAGAACAAAAGAGAGAAACAAAUGGAUGUAACGAUGUACUGAUCAAAGAAGACCUGUUGCUCUCACCCUGCCUACCAUUAACCAGAGGUACAGAGUUCUUCCCAGGACUCUGUCCCAUCAGCUAUGAGCUAUUAGCUGUCAGCUUUCAACUAUGAACCAUUAGCUGUUAGCUAUCAACCAUGAGCUAUGAGCUAUCAGCAUGACUACGAAGGAUAUGCACCUCCAGGGGCCUCAGAGGCUCACAUUGGAACACUAGUCAUUACUAAGUCUAAUAAGGAAGCCUGGGCAUGAAGGGAUCUGCUUGCUACACAAGCUGAGAUGAGCCUGCACGUCAUGUGGACCAGGUUAGCCCAAGCUGGUGUGGGGACCAGAGGAUUGGGUUUGGGACUUCCUGUAUAUGUUGAUAAGAGUAUACUGUGAUAUGUAACUGUGAUGGUCACAUGUGUCUGCUGAAAACAACAUGCCUGUCUGUUUGUACAGUGUUUGUAAAAGACGUUAGAUGAUCACUGUGUAAAAAGAUUA
Long non-coding RNA from Hypomesus transpacificus, 2178 nucleotides. RefSeq lists it as uncharacterized. The transcript is spliced from 3 exons. NCBI's taxonomy places the organism in Eukaryota, Metazoa, Chordata, Actinopteri, Osmeriformes, Osmeridae. The record is from RefSeq and is a predicted model, not a curated record.